UGGGGAAUAUUGGACAAUGGGCGCAAGCCUGAUCCAGCCAUGCCGCGUGAGUGACGAAGGCCUUAGGGUUGUAAAGCUCUUUUGGCGGGGAAGAUAAUGACGGUACCCGCAGAAUAAGCUCCGGCUAACUUCGUGCCAGCAGCCGCGGUAAUACGAAGGGAGCUAGCGUUGUUCGGAAUCACUGGGCGUAAAGCGCACGUAGGUGGAUAGUUAAGUGAGGGGUGAAAGCCCGAGGCUCAACCUCGGAAUUGCCUCUCAUACUGGCUGUCUCGAGGUCGAGAGAGGUUGGUGGAAUUCCUAGUGUAGAGGUGAAAUUCGUAGAUAUUAGGAAGAACACCAGUGGCGAAGGCGGCCAACUGGCUCGAUACUGACGCUGAGGUGCGAAAGCGUGGGGAGCAAACAGGAUUAGAUACCCAUGUAGUCCCUGAGCGGGCUGGCAAGGCGCAU
Molecule: ribosomal RNA, 447 nt
Filed under: uncultured bacterium
Lineage: Bacteria
Description: bacterial SSU rRNA
Rfam family: Bacterial small subunit ribosomal RNA
Source: RNAcentral